AUCUAUAUUUCACUUUAGAUAAUGGUGCAUGGACAUUUAUUAAUCCAACUUCUGAUGAUUCUCUUGUGCAG
This 71-nucleotide transfer RNA is filed under the name Synechococcus phage S-PM2. Its description in RNAcentral is "tRNA-His". The record is from RNAcentral. Lineage: Duplodnaviria; Heunggongvirae; Uroviricota; Caudoviricetes; Pantevenvirales; Kyanoviridae.